GUUUUACUAGUAUAAUGAGUAUGUUUGAUUUCCAAUUAAGUGGUUCUUGUGAAGUCAAGAGUAAAAUA
This 68-nucleotide transfer RNA is filed under the name Echinaster brasiliensis. RNAcentral's name for it is "tRNA-Gly". The record is from RNAcentral. Lineage: Eukaryota; Metazoa; Echinodermata; Asteroidea; Spinulosida; Echinasteridae.